RNAcentral lists this non-coding RNA (139 nucleotides) under Acinetobacter rudis CIP 110305. The record is from RNAcentral. Lineage: Bacteria; Pseudomonadati; Pseudomonadota; Gammaproteobacteria; Moraxellales; Moraxellaceae. RNAcentral also lists the same sequence under 1 other name.
UACUCUGCCAAUGUUUUAGGUGCUUCUAGAAAAAGUGAAACUGGGAAGUUAGUUCGAAUCAAGCUAACACUGCCCCCGCAACGGUGAAUAACGAAAUAUUCGUUUAAGUCCGGAGACCGGCCUAAAACAUCCUUAAUUA